Molecule: ribosomal RNA, 433 nt
Filed under: uncultured bacterium
Lineage: Bacteria
Description: bacterial SSU rRNA
Rfam family: Bacterial small subunit ribosomal RNA
Source: RNAcentral
AUUGAACGCUGGCGGCAGGCCUAACACAUGCAAGUCGAACGGAUCCUUCGGGAUUAGUGGCGGACGGGUGAGUAACGCGUGGGAACAUACCCUUUGGUACGGAAUAGCCUCGGGAAACUGGGAGUAAUACCGUAUGUGGUCGAGAGACGAAAGAUUUAUCGCCAAAGGAUUGGCCCGCGUUGGAUUAGGUAGUUGGUGGGGUAAUGGCCUACCAAGCCGACGAUCCAUAGCUGGUUUGAGAGGAUGAUCAGCCACACUGGGACUGAGACACGGCCCAGACUCCUACGGGAGGCAGCAGUGGGGAAUCUUAGACAAUGGGGGAAACCCUGAUCUAGCCAUGCCGCGUGAUCGAUGAAGGCCUUAGGGUUGUAAAGAUCUUUCAGGUGGGAAGAUAAUGACUGUACCACCAGAAGAAGCCCCGGCUAACUCCGUG